GCGAACAGGAUUAGAUACCCUGGUAGUCCACGCCGUAAACGGUGGAUGCUGGAUGUGGGGCCCGUUCCACGGGUUCCGUGUCGGAGCUAACGCGUUAAGCAUCCCGCCUGGGGAGUACGGCCGCAAGGCUAAAACUCAAAGAAAUUGACGGGGGCCCGCACAAGCGGCGGAGCAUGCGGAUUAAUUCGAUGCAACGCGAAGAACCUUACCUGGGCUUGACAUGUUCCCGACAGCCGUAGAGAUGCGGCCUCCCUUCGGGGCGGGUUCACAGGUGGUGCAUGGUCGUCGUCAGCUCGUGUCGUGAGAUGUUGGGUUAAGUCCCGCAACGAGCGCAACCCUCGCCCUGUGUUGCCAGCACGUCAUGGUGGGAACUCACGGGGGACCGCCGGGGUCAACUCGGAGGAAGGUGGGGAUGACGUCAGAUCAUCAUGCCCCUUACGUCCAGGGCUUCACGCAUGCUACAAUGGCCGGUACAACGGGAUGCGACACGGCGACGUGGAGCGGAUCCCUGAAAACCGGUCUCAGUUCGGAUUGGAGUCUGCAACCCGACUCCAUGAAGGCGGAGUCGCUAGUAAUCGCGGAUCAGCAACGCCGCGGUGAAUGCGUUCCCGGGCCUUGUACACACCGCCCG
This 631-nucleotide ribosomal RNA is filed under the name human gut metagenome. RNAcentral describes it as "bacterial SSU rRNA". It matches the Rfam family "Bacterial small subunit ribosomal RNA", at positions 768 to 1396 of the family's 1533-position model. The record is from RNAcentral.